CAGAUAGAUGACCUGCCCCCAAGACUGGGAUAAUCCAUCGAAAGGUGGCAUAAUACCAGAUAAUGUAUUAAGCUUACGGGCUUACUAUUAAAGUCGGCUUCGGCUUUCGCUUGGGGAGGGGUUUAUCUCCCAUUAGCUAGUUGGCAGGGUAACGGCCUACCAAGGCGAUGAUGGGUAGGGGAUCUUAGCGGAUGACCCCCAACACUGGGACUGAGAUACGGCCCAGUCUCCUACGGGAGGCAGCAAUCGAGGAUCCUCCGCAAUGGGCGAAAGCCUGACGGGGCGACGCCGCGUGACUGAUGAAGGCCCUGACGGGUCGUAAAAGUCUAACAGAGAACAUGAUGUGUGUUACGGUUAAUACCCGUAACACAUGACGUCAAUCUCAAAUGAAGCCCCCGCUAAAUAUGUGCCAGCAGCGGCGGUAAUACAUAUGGGGCAAGCGUUGUUCGGAUUCACUGGGCAUAAAGCGCAUGUAGGCGGCGCAGUAAGUUGAUUGUGAAAUCCCUUGGCUCAACUGAGGAAUUGCAGUCAAUACUGCAGCGCUAGAGUACAGGAGGGGAGAGUAGAAUUCCAGGUGUAGCGGUGGAAUGCGAAGAUAUCUGGGAGAAUGCCGAUAGCGAAAGCGACUCUCUGGCCUGCCACUGACGCUGAGAUGCGAGAGCGUAGGGAGCAAACGGGAUUAGAUACCCCGGUAGUCUACGCUGUAAACGAUGGGCACUAGGCGGUAGGAACGCCGAUAGUUUCUUCUGCCGAAGCAAAUGCGUUAAGUGCCCCGCCUGGGGAGUAUGGUCGCAAGACUGAAACUCAAAGGAAUUGACGGGGGCCCACACAAGCGGUGGAGGAUGUGGCUUAAUUGGAGGCUACGCCUAGAACCUUACCGAGGCUUGACAUGCAGGGAUUAACUCGCAGAAACGCGGGUGAUUGCCGUCAAGGUGUAACCUGCACAGGUGCUGCAUGGCUGUCGAAAGCUCGUGUUGUGAGAUGUUAGGUUAAGUCCUGUAACGAGCGAAACCCCUAUGCUUAGUUGCCAGCGCGUCAUGGCGGGGACUCUAAGCAGACUGCCUCGGCUAACGGGGAGGAAGGAGGGGAUGACGUCAAGUCAGCAUGGCCCUUAUGUCUCGGGCUGCACACGUCCUACAAUGGUCUGUACAAUGGGAACCGAUAUCGCGAGGUGGAGGAAAUCCUGAAAAGCAGAUCCCAGUUCAGAUUGCAGGCUGCAACUCGUCUGCAUGAAGAUGGAAUCGCUAGUAAUCGCCGGUCAGCCACACGGCGGUGAAUCCGUCCCUGGGCCUUGUACACACCGCCCGUCAAGCCACCCGAGUUGGCUGCACCCGAAAUCCAUAAACCAACCCGCAAGGGAGGGAAUGGCUGAAGGUGUGUCCGAUAAGGUGGACUAAGUCGUAACAAUGUA
Molecule: ribosomal RNA, 1411 nt
Filed under: metagenome
Description: bacterial SSU rRNA
Rfam family: Bacterial small subunit ribosomal RNA
Source: RNAcentral